CACUGUGUGGCUCCAGCCAUCACAAUACCUCAUGUACAAACAAAUUCAUUUUCAGCUGGCACCCCUGAAAUAGAAAACAACUGAGAGUCUCUCAAAUGUGGGGCCCCUGAGGUGAAGACAGAAUUGUAGGAUUCAGUUGCUCAGAGAUGAUGGAGAGGCUGAUGGGGUUGCAGCCACAGAGGAAUUCAGCACCAGUUGUGAUUGAUUUAUACUCUGACAGAGCGACUAUGAAGCUAACGGGGACCAUAUUGCUAAAACCUGCUUGGCUUUGGGAGAGAGACUACUUACCACCAAUGGAAUUCAGAAACGAUGGAGUUCCCCUUCCAUGUGGACCACUAUCUUGCGCUGCCAUGUUUCCUCUGUAGCACAGAACGGACAAACUUACGGUUGUACAUUGGUGAGCACCAAAAAUGCACAGAUUGUCCUCACACAAUAAGGACUCAAGUGGGGAGUACUUCCAAAGAACCACCCUGCUUGGACUGUAUGAAGUGAUGCAUCUGUAAAAAUCAGAAGAAGUGUGUGGCUGGAAUUUGAUGUCCAUCAUGCAGAUCCCCAAAUGACCUCAAUGUAUUCCCUUGGUUAUAAAUCUUCAAACCUUUCAAUACCGCUCUGUGCCCGUCACAGGAGCUUCUUGUCCCUAAAGGACACUGAUGCUUCUGGAGUUUCCCCAUUGGCUUGAUGUCACUGAAUAUUCCGAUUUCUACACAUUGUAUCGUAAAGUUAUACUUUCUGGGCAUUUCUGCUGCUCACUCUUUUGGUUGCCAUUUAUUUGGUACAUAUAGCAAAAAAGUAUGCAGGGUAAUACUUAAGUCCUGCAAUAAAUCCUACCUUUAUGGUUUGACACCUCAUUAAAAAAGAAUCCAUAAAAACGUAAUACAACAUUCAUGAAAGCAGGAUUUAUAGCAGGACUGUUGACAUGCACACUCUUUAAACUUCACGUCUUUUCAGACUUCUUGUCUGUUUUGGCUCCAAAAUGAAACGUGACAGUUUAUCCUUCACUUGGAAAUAGUAUUUUGAAAAGAACACUGCCAACUCAUUUUUCAAUCACAAGCUGUUUACAGGGUUGCAACCGUAUUGCGACAAAGCAACUUUAGGCUGUAUGAUAUAGCUAAUAGCCAAGAAAAAAAGAAAGUGAGAUAGGCUGAAUUUUGUGAUUCCAGGUGAAAAUGAAUAUUCAUGUUUCACAAAAAUGAUCGGUCCUGAUUUUGAUUUGGGUAUCACUGAAUUUUUGACAGUAAUGAAGAUACAAUUUAUCUCUGGAUCAAAUCCUUUGACUCAGGAACAUCCUGCUUCGAAGCUGAAGGGCACACAGGAUUGCAAAUGUCUUAUAAUCUUAUAAACAUCUAAACAUCUUCA
Molecule: long non-coding RNA, 1356 nt
Organism: Notolabrus celidotus (New Zealand spotty)
Lineage: Eukaryota; Metazoa; Chordata; Actinopteri; Labriformes; Labridae
Exons: 4
Source: RefSeq, a predicted model, not a curated record